RNAcentral lists this long non-coding RNA (1479 nucleotides) under Sorghum bicolor (sorghum). RNAcentral describes it as "long non-coding RNA (SBIC_LNC007290)". The record is from RNAcentral. Lineage: Eukaryota; Viridiplantae; Streptophyta; Magnoliopsida; Poales; Poaceae.
GCGCACCAUGGUGGGAACAAGCUUAGGGGGGCCAAGCCAUGACAUGAGUAACAUAGCCCCAAUGAUUGUUUUGUACCUUCAAACUCAAGGUGAAAGGUUGAGAGGGCUUGUUUACUUCCACCCCAAAACCCAAAAUUUUUUAAGAUUUUCCGUCACAUCGAAUCUUUAGACGUAGACAUGGAGUAUUAAGUAUAGAUGAAAAUAAAACUAACUACACAGUUUAGUCGAAAUGGACGAGACGAAUCUUUUGAGCUUAGUUAGUUUAUGGUUGGACAUAAUUACCACAAACAAAUAAAAAUGCUACAGUAUCUAUGGAGUGAGGGACGAACGGAUAGGAGGGAGAGAGAUGUUUUUUUUUUGCAAGCUAACGCUAGACCAGUUGGUCCAACUGUGCGUUUCACACCCUGCCAAUUAGAGUUUGAAUCUCCUCAUUGGCGUAUUUAUUGGUUGGAGGAGGUGCAAUUUAUCUGCACGUUGAAAAUAUAAGUGAGGUAGAGGUUUGGAGGUUUUCUGCAUGUGAGAAGAUUUUUUUUAUGACGAGGUUUGGAGGUUUUCUGUGAAUUCUUUUUUAAGCUCAAUGUCCAGGAGCUAUAUUACCCCCGCGGGUCAAGCUCUUAGAGAGAUGAUUUUUUUUUGCUCUUUAAUAUUUGAAAUAAAUAAAGAUAAAGAUAUAGUUUUGUCGGUUGCGUGAGCAUAACCAUUUUUCAAUAAUAUAUAUAUUCUGGUACCUUUGGCAUCUGAGUAUCACCUUUAUUUUCAACAAGGUACAUAUGAUUGUUUAAUAUAUGUCUAAAUUAUAGGGGACAGACACAUUAAGCUGAUGGUGCCAUUUCACUCCGUGGAAUAUCACUACAGGUGUUCCCAAUCUCAAGUGGUCCAAACCAAAUCUUAGAAAUAAUGCAUAUCCAUACUGACACACAAACACACGCAAAUUAUUAAAUUAUUUUAUUUUUCUUUACAGAAGAUGUGUUUUCUUUAAUUUGAUCGGUAGAGGAGAUGGUUUCUAGAGAGACGAAAUUUAGUUUUUUUUUCUUAAAAUGAGCUGAGCACUCUACUCCAUUAUUGUUACCGUACCUAUUCCAAGUCUAAGAAGUCUGCUCCCUCAAAGAAAAAGAGGUCUACUAAACCUGGCCCACUGGGCCGUGCAGUUUUCUGACUUCGGACCUGCCCCAAGUUUUUGAGUUUUGACGCAUCUUUCAUUUUUAUUUAAUAAGUAUUAUCUAAUUAUAAACUAAUUAGAUUUAAAAAAUUUAUCCUAUAAAUUAUAUUAUUUAUAUUUAAUAUCCCAUAUGUGUGUCAAAAAAUUAAUGUGAUGGAAAAUUUUGUAAAAAAAAAUUGGAACAAAACAAUGGGCCUAAAUAGUACCAUAUAAAAUGUUUGAGAUUUUUCGUCACAUAAAAUCUUACGACACAUGCAUAUGGUAUUAAAUAAAAAUAAAAGAAAUAACUGAUUGUAUAAUUUAUUUAUAAUUUACGUGAC